This 60-nucleotide ribosomal RNA is filed under the name Fusarium commune. RNAcentral's name for it is "partial 18S ribosomal RNA". The stretch from base 1 to 50 matches the Rfam family "Eukaryotic small subunit ribosomal RNA", at positions 1782 to 1831 of the family's 1831-position model. The record is from RNAcentral. Lineage: Eukaryota; Fungi; Ascomycota; Sordariomycetes; Hypocreales; Nectriaceae.
AAAAAAAUCGUAACAAGGUCUCCGUUGGUGAACCAGCGGAGGGAUCAUUACCGAGUUUAC